RNAcentral lists this transfer RNA (72 nucleotides) under Camelus bactrianus (Bactrian camel). It matches the Rfam family "tRNA". From Rfam's summary of the family: Transfer RNA (tRNA) molecules are approximately 80 nucleotides in length. Lineage: Eukaryota; Metazoa; Chordata; Mammalia; Artiodactyla; Camelidae. RNAcentral also lists the same sequence under 2 other names. The record is from Rfam by way of RNAcentral.
GUGGGCGUAGCUCAGCAGUAGAGCACAUGCUUAGCUUGCAGGAGGUGCUGGGUUCAAUUCCCAGUAUCUCCU